This 439-nucleotide ribosomal RNA is filed under the name uncultured Bacillota bacterium. RNAcentral's name for it is "bacterial SSU rRNA". It matches the Rfam family "Bacterial small subunit ribosomal RNA", at positions 917 to 1359 of the family's 1533-position model. Lineage: Bacteria; Bacillati; Bacillota. The record is from RNAcentral.
GGGCCCGCACAAGCAGUGGAGUAUGUGGUUUAAUUCGAAGCAACGCGAAGAACCUUACCAGGGCUUGACAUCUCCUGAAUACCAUAGAGAUAUGGGAAGCCUUUCGAGGCAGGAAGACAGGUGGUGCAUGGUUGUCGUCAGCUCGUGUCGUGAGAUGUUGGGUUAAGUCCCGCAACGAGCGCAACCCCUACGGUCAGUUGCCAUCAUUAAGUUGGGAACGCUGGCAGGACUGCCGGUGACAAAUCGGAGGAAGGUGGGGACGACGUCAAAUCAUCAUGCCCCUUAUGUCCUGGGCUACACACGUACUACAAUGGCAACAACAGAGGGAAGCUAAGGAGCAAUCUGGAGCGAAUCCCCAAAAGUUGUCCCAGUUCAGAUUGAGGGCUGAAACCCGCCCUCAUGAAGUCGGAAUUGCUAGUAAUGGCAGGUCAGCAUACUG